Small nucleolar RNA from Vigna angularis (adzuki bean), 82 nucleotides. It matches the Rfam family "Small nucleolar RNA U31b". The record is from Rfam. NCBI's taxonomy places the organism in Eukaryota, Viridiplantae, Streptophyta, Magnoliopsida, Fabales, Fabaceae.
GGAUAUGAUGAUAGUAUUUUGUCGCCCCAGUCUUAAUUUGCACCACAAGGUGUAAGAUGGUGAUUGACUUUAUAUCUGAUCC